Long non-coding RNA from Cairina moschata (Muscovy duck), 3904 nucleotides. NCBI's taxonomy places the organism in Eukaryota, Metazoa, Chordata, Aves, Anseriformes, Anatidae. The record is from Ensembl.
UCUUUUAAUUUAAGACCACGUUUAAUGGGAUCUUGACCUGCCUGGUGGGAUCUGGAGCAGUGGGUUUGCAAGCCCAUCCCAUAAAAGCAAUGAGAAACCUUGCAGCCGUGGGGCUCAGCAGCCUCCUAACUGCCUGGAGGGUGUUUAUUUUUGUCGUUAAAAGGCGAGCAUGUGUUUCUCUUCUAUCCUGCUACUUCCACAGCUGCCUACUGGGGAUUUUAAAUUAUUUUUAUUAUUUUAUAUUUCAUUUACGUCUGGAGCCCCUUUCAUGCUAGACACUGUACAAACACAGUCUUCCCUACUGAGCUUACAAUCUAGGCAGACAAUGGAUGAGAGAAAUUAAGUUUUAAUGGCUCCAUUUUAUAGCACGGAAUUGAGACCUGCUGUUCCACAGUGUUUGGUCUAGGAUCACGCAGGGAACGUGUAGGCAAGCUGGGAAGGGAACCAGAUCUCACAGAAACAGAUCUCAAAAGGGUCAGUCUUUGUGCUGAGGCAUCUGUCAUCCCUCAGGCUGCUGUUUCUUCAGAGCCUGUGGUGGAGAUGUGAUCGGGUCUCACUGAAAUCGGGAGGAAUUGGUUCACAAAGCCACGCCACGCCAAGUGCUCCGCUCAGCAAAGGGAACCACCAGGGCAGAGACAGAGCAUAGAGCAAGUGUUAGAAAGUUAAAGCUGGAAUUGAGAGGUUUCUGUAUCGCUUUGGUGCGUUGUCCACCUACUUGCAGGUGCUGGGUAGCCUUUUCUGUGCAGUCAACCAUGGGUGUGCUUAGAAGAGCACCAAAGUGCCUAGAAAGCUGAAAUGGCAGGACGGGGAGGGUUAACAGAAGCCCUAGUACUACAAAUUGGCUUUGCACUGUUGUCCAGAGUCUGUCAAACUUGGAACCAAUGUUCGUACACAUUUACUUUGCAGGGAAAGCUGGGGGAUGCGCAGUGUCCAGAAGCACCACAGCAGUGGAGAGAGCUUCAGCCAGGAGAAGAAACCCCAGAAAAUGGCACUGUGGCAGGGCAGUACUGAUUUGAAGCUAGGGUGAUCAACAAACAGCUCUUUGCAGGAUCAGAAGGAUAUGAUAUGAACUGUUACGAUACACUCAAGAUACAUCCUGUGCAGGAAAUACAAGGGAAAAACCAAAGGUAUUUUUUAAAUCGUUAUAAUUUAUUUUCCACAAGUAGCAAAAUACAGUCAGUUUUCAGACGUAAGUAGAGAAUGUCAAGUUAGGAUCUUAGGUCAACAUUAAUAUGUUUCAUCAAGUGGCAGACUUAUUUUCUCUGUUAAACUUUAAGAUGAGCCAUGCACUCUGAAGUCACUGCUGUCUUGUUGAGAAGGCACCAGAUGCAGCUGUCCCAGAUGCUGCUUUAGUUUCUCAUUCUUGUAAAGGCAGCUGCAUGUUUUCCUAUUUAGAAUACAUCUGGUUGACAAAAAUGUAGAAAAUUCUCAGCUUGUAGAAGGGGAAUGGCUUUUAUUUUAUUAAACAGGAGUCGGGUACAAUUGCAUUUUCUGUUGGAGCAGUUUUCCUUGCUAGAAUAAUUUAGGUGAGGGUAUUUUUUAUAAAAGGUUCAGUUAAAGCAGUGUAUUUUCAGGGUACAUUCGUGUACAUAUUUAACUUUUUUAUGAGAAGCAGCUUUACAUGUAUGAAUACAUAUCAAGAGUAUAUUGUUACUGAUGAAGAAAACUAAAAAGACUCUGUAUUAUAAGUAUUUCUUACUCUGGCAAACUUCUUAUUAGCCAAGCGCCUUGUCUGUGCAAGGACUGUAGGGGAAAAACAAGAACAAGUGACUAUUCAGUGUGUCAGUCUUAACCAUCCCCUUUUAUAUGUCAGAGAAGCAGCACUUACAUAUGUAUUACAUGGCCAUUAUAAAAGAAAAUGCUUGAAACAACUGGAUGGGAUUGUCACUCAACAUAGGUAACUCAGAGCAGAAUGAAUAUGAGCUCAUGGCAAAAUCCCACACCCCUGAGCCAAAGGGUUUAGGAAGGAGAAUUUAUUUAAAGAUAAUUGUCAGACAGCUGUGUAAGUGGCAGCAUUAUCUCAAAACCAGCUAACUGUAAUCUCUCUUUGAAGGCUGAUGUUGUUGUUACUUUAGAACAAAAUCUCUGUUUUUUGACCUAUGAUCCAGCAUGUCUCCUAAUGGUUCCAUGAGUUGUAUUGAAAGAAGUGUGUCUGUUUAGCAGGCGUCUAUUUUGCUCUGCAUGGCUCUCUAUGUCCACUGGAAUGUGCCUCACAAGUUCCCCAAAUCAAAACUGUUCAGCUGCUGCUCGGGAAGGGGAGCAUGCUAUGUCCACUGAGUUAGGUUCCUGCCCAGCACCAAGAGCACUUCAUGGCCAAGACCUUUUGCCAUUGAUGUCUGACUCUGGGGAGAGCUGUGUGCUGUGGGGAUUAGAGUGUGCUAGUCAAUAACAGAUGCACAAACAAUUGCAGCAACUCCUCCCCAGUUGACAUUCAGAUGUCCUGUAACAGCGGUUCCCAGGGUAUUGUCUGUCAGUAGGAAUCUUCAUUCUUCUAGUAAAUGCAUCAAGUGGCGUAACAUUCAGGGUUUCUUUUCAAGGUCUUGUUUUACAUGACAAUAAUCUGUUGUUCAGCUGCCAUGUUCCUUUCAAGUACAUGACCCUGGCAGUAAUCUUCAAUGCUGUGACCAUCCUUUGCAUUAAAUCAAACUGCAGUGAAUGGCUUCUUUAUUAGAAGUGACAGUAUGAAUGCAAAACACAUUUUCAGUAGCUUAUAAGUGAAAUACGUAUCUGACUUGUAAAAAGACAGCUGCAGAAGUCCUUCUUGAAAGACACACUGGUUGGGAAGGGAGAAGAAAACCCACAUUUGUGUUUUUUAUCUCUUGAGGUCAGCAAGCAACUGCACAGAAAGCCCCCACACGUAUGUGAAAAUCAGCAGACUGCGUCCACAGGAGCUGAUAAAGCUAGAUAUAAGUGAGCUCCAGAUACUGGCAAAUAGCAGUGGUUGGACCAUAGGCACAACUGUAUCCUGAAUUUAAGUCUUUCCUUAAAAAACAGAUACAAACUUGUCCUGGGCUAGAAUCUGUAAAAUGCUGAGCAUUCCUGCACCAGUCUGCCAAAACACAUGCUUUAAUAUCAACCAUGUAAGUAAAGACUUGCUCAUCAUGUCAGUAGUAACGAUGACAUUUGGAUGGGCUGAAUGGCUAGGUGGUAAAAAAAUAAUGUUUUGAGUACCUGUCUGGAUCGGUGCAGAAGUAUCUGUUUCUUAGUUCACGUUUGUACCCUCAGUGGCUGGGGAGGCACCAGUUAUUUGGUGACUUGAAAGUUGUCGUUGUGCAAGAAGUUUGAAUCUAAACUUUGCUAGCUAACCCUUUGUCAGCCCUUGUGCAAGCAGAUGUCUUUUCAGAAGCUGAAGGAGGUUUUAUUGCUAAAGUGAAGCAGCUUUUCUAAAGAAUACGAGUCAAUGUUGGGAUGUAAUAACUUGUGCUCCUUAGGAUGCACCUUCCUUGUAACACCAGAUAUCAUUGCUACAGGCAAAAGCGAAGUGGCUGUUCUUUUCCUGACAAACCUGAGAUGCCACAAUCGUAUGCAUAGCUAUUGAAAUUACAGAUAUCAUACCAAAUAUGGAUUUGGUAUUAGUUAAGCAAAUUUCUCACGUUUUGUAGGGAAGGCAGGGCUGAGAGUUGCGUGCUAGGACACUUCACAGCUUAUAUUGCAUAUUGUGUUGUGCUUGGAGGCUGAGUCCGUUGGUGCUGUUUUGUCAUGAAUGCUGAAUCAGUGCAUCAUUUUCAUAUGUACAGAGAGUAAUAGGUGGUCUUAUUAAAUGCAACAUUCAAAGCAAGGACAAUGCUCUUGGAAGUUCAGCUCUAAAACAAGCAGUUCUGUUGCAUGUCUGUCUCUCUUGGUAUCGGUUGCUUUUAAGGAGAAUGUUCUAUUUUGAGCAUUUCUGAUUUAGACUAGGAAAGAG